RNAcentral lists this ribosomal RNA (492 nucleotides) under uncultured bacterium. RNAcentral's name for it is "partial 16S ribosomal RNA". It matches the Rfam family "Bacterial small subunit ribosomal RNA", at positions 29 to 507 of the family's 1533-position model. The record is from RNAcentral.
AGUGAACGCUGGCGGUAGGCCUAACGCAUGCAAGUCGAACGGCAGCACAGUAAUAGCUUGCUCCUACGGUUGCCGAGUGGCGGAUGGGUCAUGGGUGCAUCGCAAUCUACUUUUUCGUGGGCGAUAACGUAGGGAUACUUUCCCUAAUACCACAUACGACUUACGUGUUAAAUCAGGAGAUCUUUCGAUCUUGCGCGAUUUCAUGAGCCGAUGUCGGAUUAGCUAGUUGGCGGGGUAACGGCCCACCGAGGCGACGAUCCGCUGCUGGUCUGAGCGGAUGAACAGGCACACUGGGAGUGAGAGACGGUCCAGAGUCCGACGGGAGGCAGAAGUGGGGAAGAUUGGAAAAAGGGCGGAAGACUGAACAAGCGAUGCAGGGUGGGUGAAGAAGGGCUGCGGGGUGUAAAGCGCUUUUGUUGGGGAAGAAAAGCAGCAGGAUAAAAGAAGGCUGUUGUGACGGUACCUAAAGAAUAAGCACCGGCUAACUUCGUG